This 459-nucleotide ribosomal RNA is filed under the name uncultured bacterium. RNAcentral's name for it is "partial 16S ribosomal RNA". It matches the Rfam family "Bacterial small subunit ribosomal RNA", at positions 338 to 795 of the family's 1533-position model. The record is from RNAcentral.
CCUACGGGUGGCAGCAGUGAGGAAUAUUGGUCAAUGGUCGGGAGACUGAACCAGCCAAGCCGCGUGAGGGAUGAAGGUACAGAGUAUCGUAAACCUCUUUUGUCAGGGAACAAAGGCGGGGACGUGUCCCCGGAUGAGUGUACCUGAAGAAAAAGCAUCGGCUAGCUCCGUGCCAGCGGCCGCGGUAAUACGGAGGAUGCGUGCGUUAUCCGGAUUUAUUGGGGUAAAGGGGUGGGCAGGGGGGCUGUUAAGUGAGCGGUCAAAGCCCGGGGCUAAACCCAGGCCCGCCGUUGAAACUGGCAGUCUCGAGUUGGAGAGAAGUAUGCGGAAUGCGCGGUGUAGCGGUGAAAUGCAUAGAUAUCGCGCAGAACUCCGAUUGCGAAGGCAGCAUGCCGGCUCGACACUGACGCUGAGGCACGAAAGCGUGGGUAUCGAACAGGAUUAGAUACCCCUGUAGUC